This 1372-nucleotide ribosomal RNA is filed under the name uncultured bacterium. RNAcentral's name for it is "bacterial SSU rRNA". It matches the Rfam family "Bacterial small subunit ribosomal RNA", at positions 28 to 1381 of the family's 1533-position model. The record is from RNAcentral.
GAUGAACGCUGGCGGCGUGCCUAAUACAUGCAAGUCGAGCGAACAGAUAAGGAGCUUGCUCCUUUGAAGUUAGCGGCGGACGGGUGAGUAACACGUGGGUAACCUACCUAUAAGACUGGGAUAACUUCGGGAAACCGGAGCUAAUACCGGAUAACAUCUAGAACCGCAUGGUUCUAAAGUGAAAGAUGGUUUUGCUAUCACUUAUAGAUGGACCCGCGCCGUAUUAGCUAGUUGGUAAGGUAACGGCUUACCAAGGCGACGAUACGUAGCCGACCUGAGAGGGUGAUCGGCCACACUGGAACUGAGACACGGUCCAGACUCCUACGGGAGGCAGCAGUAGGGAAUCUUCCGCAAUGGGCGAAAGCCUGACGGAGCAACGCCGCGUGAGUGAUGAAGGGUUUCGGCUCGUAAAACUCUGUUAUUAGGGAAGAACAAAUGUGUAAGUAACUGUGCACAUCUUGACGGUACCUAAUCAGAAAGCCACGGCUAACUACGUGCCAGCAGCCGCGGUAAUACGUAGGUGGCAAGCGUUAUCCGGAAUUAUUGGGCGUAAAGCGCGCGUAGGCGGUUUCUUAAGUCUGAUGUGAAAGCCCACGGCUCAACCGUGGAGGGUCAUUGGAAACUGGGAAACUUGAGUGCAGAAGAGGAAAGUGGAAUUCCAUGUGUAGCGGUGAAAUGCGCAGAGAUAUGGAGGAACACCAGUGGCGAAGGCGACUUUCUGGUCUGUAACUGACGCUGAUGUGCGAAAGCGUGGGGAUCAAACAGGAUUAGAUACCCUGGUAGUCCACGCCGUAAACGAUGAGUGCUAAGUGUUAGGGGGUUUCCGCCCCUUAGUGCUGCAGCUAACGCAUUAAGCACUCCGCCUGGGGAGUACGACCGCAAGGUUGAAACUCAAAGGAAUUGACGGGGACCCGCACAAGCGGUGGAGCAUGUGGUUUAAUUCGAAGCAACGCGAAGAACCUUACCAAAUCUUGACAUCCUUUGAAAACUCUAGAGAUAGAGCCUUCCCCUUCGGGGGACAAAGUGACAGGUGGUGCAUGGUUGUCGUCAGCUCGUGUCGUGAGAUGUUGGGUUAAGUCCCGCAACGAGCGCAACCCUUAAGCUUAGUUGCCAUCAUUAAGUUGGGCACUCUAGGUUGACUGCCGGUGACAAACCGGAGGAAGGUGGGGAUGACGUCAAAUCAUCAUGCCCCUUAUGAUUUGGGCUACACACGUGCUACAAUGGACAAUACAAAGGGCAGCUAAACCGCGAGGUCAUGCAAAUCCCAUAAAGUUGUUCUCAGUUCGGAUUGUAGUCUGCAACUCGACUACAUGAAGCUGGAAUCGCUAGUAAUCGUAGAUCAGCAUGCUAUGGUGAAUACGUUCCCGGGCCU